AUUGAACGCUGGCGGCAGGCCUAACACAUGCCAGUCGAGCGGAUGAAGGGAGCUUGCUCCUGGAUUCAGCGGCGGACGGGUGAGUAAUGCCUAGGAAUCUGCCUGGUAGUGGGGGAUAACGUCCGGAAACGGGCGCUAAUACCGCAUACGUCCUGAGGGAGAAAGUGGGGGAUCUUCGGACCUCACGCUCUCAGAUGAGCCUAGGUCGGAUUAGCUAGUUGGUGGGGUAAAGGCCUACCAAGGCGACGAUCCGUAACUGGUCUGAGAGGAUGAUCAGUCACACUGGAACUGAGACACGGUCCAGACUCCUACGGGAGGCAGCAGUGGGGAAUAUUGGACAAUGGACGAAAGCCUGAUCCAGCCAUGCCGCGUGUGUGAAGAAGGUCUUCGGAUUGUAAAGCACUUUAAGUGGGGAGGAAGGGCAGUAAGUUAAUACCUUGCUGUUUUGACGGUACCAACAGAAUAAGCACCGGCUAACUUCGUG
This 484-nucleotide ribosomal RNA is filed under the name uncultured bacterium. Its description in RNAcentral is "partial 16S ribosomal RNA". It matches the Rfam family "Bacterial small subunit ribosomal RNA", at positions 30 to 507 of the family's 1533-position model. The record is from RNAcentral.